This 467-nucleotide ribosomal RNA is filed under the name uncultured bacterium. RNAcentral describes it as "partial 16S ribosomal RNA". It matches the Rfam family "Bacterial small subunit ribosomal RNA", at positions 28 to 507 of the family's 1533-position model. The record is from RNAcentral.
GACGAACGCUGGCGGCGUGCUUAACACAUGCAAGUCGAACGGAAAGGCUCCAGCUUGCUGGAGUACUCGAGUGGCGAACGGGUGAGUAACACGUGGGUAAUCUGCCCUGCACUCUGGGAUAAGCCUGGGAAACUGGGUCUAAUACUGGAUAUGACCUUUCUCCUUAUGGGGUUUGGUGGAAAGUUUUUCGGUGUAGGAUGAGCCCGCGGCCUAUCAGCUUGUUGGUGGGGUGAUGGCCUACCAAGGCGACGACGGGUAGCCGGCCUGAGAGGGUGAUCGGCCACAUUGGGACUGAGAUACGGCCCAGACUCCUACGGGAGGCAGCAGUGGGGAAUAUCGCACAAUGGGCGGAAGCCUGAUGCAGCGACGCCGCGUGAGGGAUGACGGCCUUCGGGUUGUAAACCUCUUUCAGCAGGGACGAAGCGUAAGUGACGGUACCUGCAGAAGAAGCACCGGCUAACUAUGUG